CACUCCUACGGGAGGCAGCAGUGGGGAAUAUUGCACAAUGGGCGCAAGCCUGAUGCAGCCAUGCCGCGUGUAUGAAGAAGGCCUUCGGGUUGUAAAGUACUUUCAGCGGGGAGGAAGGCGAUAAGGUUAAUAACCUUGUUGAUUGACGUUACCCGCAGAAGAAGCACCGGCUAACUCCGUGCCAGCAGCCGCGGUAAUACGGAGGGUGCAAGCGUUAAUCGGAAUUACUGGGCGUAAAGCGCACGCAGGCGGUCUGUCAAGUCGGAUGUGAAAUCCCCGGGCUCAACCUGGGAACUGCAUUCGAAACUGGCAGGCUAGAGUCUUGUAGAGGGGGGUAGAAUUCCAGGUGUAGCGGUGAAAUGCGUAGAGAUCUGGAGGAAUACCGGUGGCGAAGGCGGCCCCCUGGACAAAGACUGACGCUCAGGUGCGAAAGCGUGGGGAGCAAACAGGAUUAGAUACCCGGGUAGUCCCAUGAU
RNAcentral lists this ribosomal RNA (476 nucleotides) under uncultured organism. RNAcentral describes it as "partial 16S ribosomal RNA". It matches the Rfam family "Bacterial small subunit ribosomal RNA", at positions 334 to 801 of the family's 1533-position model. The record is from RNAcentral.